GGAGGAGUAAUCAAGCCUGGCCAAAGAUGCAGGACUUAAGAUCCUGUCUCUUAGGAGUUCGCGGGUUCAAAUCCCGCCUCCUCCA
RNAcentral lists this transfer RNA (85 nucleotides) under Nitrososphaerota archaeon. RNAcentral describes it as "Thaumarchaeota archaeon (sponge metagenome) tRNA-Leu". It matches the Rfam family "tRNA". Rfam says of the family: Transfer RNA (tRNA) molecules are approximately 80 nucleotides in length. Their secondary structure includes four short double-helical elements and three loops (D, anti-codon, and T loops). The record is from RNAcentral. Lineage: Archaea; Thermoproteati; Nitrososphaerota. RNAcentral also lists the same sequence under 1 other name.